UCUCUUAUCAGUUCCUUCGUCGAUCGUUCUUCAUCUUAGAAAAUUUCUCCGCCACCACUACCAUCAGCGCGCGAAUCUCUUAUGGAAUUGGAGAAAUUAGGAUUGGAGAGAACGUAAUUUGGAAGCUUUGAUAGCAGAAGCUUGUUGCUCUUCUGUUGGUGGAGCUCUGCGUGGUAGUUAUCAGGGGAAAUUUUUGCUUUGGGUUUUAGGAAUUCUCUAUAAAGCUAUAAUUUGAUUGUUGUGUGCUAGCUUUGAAUAAAUGUUAGAUGUGAUCUACAAUUUGCAAUUUUGUCGAUUGGUUUGUUCUCGCAUAACUUUGCUUUCUAUUGCCGGAAUAGUAUCAGAGUAACGAGAACAAUGACAUUUCGAGUUAGAAUCGCGCUUCUCUCGACAAGACAACAUUAGGGUUGUUCUUGAAUAAAGACGAUGAAGUUUGGGGCUGAGCAACUUGAAGAUUUUGUUACCUUUCUUUAAGUGUAUUUCAAUGUAUCUCGCUGUAUUUCCAUAUAUUUUAUUGCAUUUAUUGUCUUUUUAUUCAUUGUAUUUCAGUGUAUCUUGUUGUAUUCUAUGUAUUUCAUUU
Molecule: long non-coding RNA, 580 nt
Filed under: Nicotiana benthamiana
Lineage: Eukaryota; Viridiplantae; Streptophyta; Magnoliopsida; Solanales; Solanaceae
Description: long non-coding RNA (NBEN_LNC042612)
Source: RNAcentral